Molecule: ribosomal RNA, 492 nt
Filed under: uncultured bacterium
Lineage: Bacteria
Description: partial 16S ribosomal RNA
Rfam family: Bacterial small subunit ribosomal RNA
Source: RNAcentral
AGUGAACGCUGGCGGUAGGCCUAACACAUGCAAGUCGAACGGCAGCACAGUAAGAGCUUGCUCUUACGGGUGGCGAGUGGCGGACGGGUGAGGAAUACAUCGGAAUCUACUUUUUCGUGGGGGAUAACGUAGGGAAACUUACGCUAAUACCGCAUACGACCUACGGGUGAAAGCAGGGGAUCUUCGGCCCUUGCGCGAUUGAAUGAGCCGAUGUCGGAUUAGCUAGUUGGCGGGGUAAAGGCCCACCAAGGCGACGAUCCGUAGCUGGUCUGAGAGGAUGAACGGCCACACUGGAACUGAGACACGGUCCAGACCCCUACGGUAGGCAGCAGUGGGGAAUAUUGGACAAUGGGCGCAAGCCUGAUCCAGCCAUACCGCGUGGGUGAAGAAGGCCUUCGGGUUGUAAAGCCCUUUUGUUGGGAAAGAAAAGCAGCAGGUUAAUACCCCGCUGUUCUGACGUUACCCAAAGAAUAAGCACCGGCUAACUUCGUG